This 524-nucleotide ribosomal RNA is filed under the name uncultured bacterium. Its description in RNAcentral is "partial 16S ribosomal RNA". It matches the Rfam family "Bacterial small subunit ribosomal RNA", at positions 28 to 523 of the family's 1533-position model. The record is from RNAcentral.
GACGAACGCUGGCGGCGUGCCUAAUACAUGCAAGUCGAACGAAGCUGUUUUAACUGGUGCUUGCACCGACUUAAACAACUGAGUGGCGAACGGGUGAGUAACACGUGGGUAACCUGCCCCAAAGCGGGGGAUAACAUUUGGAAACAGAUGCUAAUACCGCAUAACCACAGAAACCACAUGGUUUCUGUGUCAAAGAUGGUUUCGGCUAUCACUUUGGGAUGGACCUGCGGCGUAUUAGCUAGUUGGUAAGGUAAUGGCUUACCAAGGCAAUGAUACGUAGCCGAACUGAGAGGUUGAUCGGCCACAUUGGGACUGAGACGCGGCCCAAACUCCUACGGGAGGCAGCAGUAGGGAAUCUUCCACAAUGGACGAAAGUCUGAUGGAGCAACGCCGCGUGAGUGAAGAAGGUUUUCGGAUCGUAAAACUCUGUUGUCAGAGAAGAACGUGUGCGAGAGUAACUGUUCGUGCAGUGACGGUAUCUGGCCAGAAAGCCACGGCUAACUACGUGCCAGCAGCCGCCGUAA